UUGGGUUGGUGUUUUUGGAUCCUUUUUAUAUAUGUUGUUGAUUUUUUUGUCAAUUUAUUUAUUGUCUUUGUAUUUUUUAAUUCGUAUUAUUUAAAUAUUUAAAUAUAUAGCUGAUUUUAUUAAACUUAAUAAAUUCAAUGACCUAAUUUUUUUUUUUACCUUAAUAAUUUUUUUUUACAUUAAUUGAAAAAAACCUGUGCAGGCCUACAAUAUAGCGUGGCCCGUAUCUAGU
Molecule: long non-coding RNA, 232 nt
Filed under: Populus trichocarpa (black cottonwood)
Lineage: Eukaryota; Viridiplantae; Streptophyta; Magnoliopsida; Malpighiales; Salicaceae
Description: long non-coding RNA (PTRI_LNC002541)
Source: RNAcentral